Molecule: ribosomal RNA, 433 nt
Filed under: Reticulitermes guangzhouensis
Lineage: Eukaryota; Metazoa; Arthropoda; Insecta; Blattodea; Rhinotermitidae
Description: partial 16S ribosomal RNA
Source: RNAcentral
GUCGCCUGUUUAUCAAAAACAUCUUUUCUCGUUAGUUUUUGAAGUAUGGCCUGCCCGCUGACUUUGGUGUUGAAGGGCCGCGGUAUUUUGACCGUGCAAAGGUAGCAUAGUCAUUAGUUCUUUAAUUGUGAUCUGGUAUGAAUGGCUUGACGAGGCAUGGGCUGUCUUAAUUUUGAAUUGUUUAUUGAAUUUGGUCUUUGAGUUAAAAUUCUUAGAUGUUUUUAUGGGACGAGAAGACCCUAUAGAGUUUAACAUUUGUUAUGGUCCCCUUUCUGUUUGUGAGGGUUCAUUGGGCCGUUUAAUAUGUUUUGUUGGGGUGAUGGGAGGGAUUAAUUUAACCCCUCCUUUUUAUUAUUAUAUUUAUUUAUAUUUACUUGAUCCAUUUAUUUUGAUUGUAAGAUUAAAUUACCUUAGGGAUAACAGCGUAAAGAAA